GGCUGGCAGAGGUUUCACUCCCUGCAGUGCUGAGGCCUGCUGGGUGGCAGGCUUCAGCCAGCUAACUUACUACUGAUGUGAUUCUGUAUGGCUCAGGAGUAGAAGGCUAUAACUGGUGGGAUGGAAGGAAUAUGCUAAAAGUCACGCAGACGAGGAAGUCACAAAGGAAGAGGUUAAACUGAGAGGCUUCCAAUGAUGUAACCAGAGAUGGACUUUUGAGCAAAAACAAGUAAACAAUACGUGAUUUACUGAGAACCUAUACGUUCGAUAUCAUGACGCUAGCAAGGAAAACAGCAAUUGAUCAUCAGUACCUAAGACU
This 319-nucleotide long non-coding RNA is filed under the name Pan troglodytes (chimpanzee). RNAcentral describes it as "long non-coding RNA NONPTRT016592". The record is from RNAcentral. Lineage: Eukaryota; Metazoa; Chordata; Mammalia; Primates; Hominidae.